AGUCGAACGAUGUAGCAAUACAUAGUGGCGCACGGGUGAGUAACGCGUGGGAAUGUACCAUUUGGUGGGGAAUAACUUCGGGAAACUGAAGCUAAUACCGCAUACGCCCUUCGGGGGAAAGAUUUAUCGCCAAAUGAUCAGCCCGCGUGAGAUUAGAUAGUUUGUGGGGUAAUGGCCUACCAAGUCUACGAUCUCUAGCUGGUCUUAGAGGAUGACCAGCCACACUGGAACUGAGACACGGUCCAGACUCC
RNAcentral lists this ribosomal RNA (251 nucleotides) under uncultured bacterium. Its description in RNAcentral is "partial 16S ribosomal RNA". It matches the Rfam family "Bacterial small subunit ribosomal RNA", at positions 60 to 339 of the family's 1533-position model. The record is from RNAcentral.